Molecule: ribosomal RNA, 497 nt
Filed under: uncultured bacterium
Lineage: Bacteria
Description: partial 16S ribosomal RNA
Rfam family: Bacterial small subunit ribosomal RNA
Source: RNAcentral
GAUGAACGCUGGCGGCGUGCCUAAUACAUGCAAGUCGAGCGAACAGACGAGGAGCUUGCUCCUCUGACGUUAGCGGCGGACGGGUGAGUAACACGUGGAUAACCUACCUAUAAGACUGGGAUAACUUCGGGAAACCGGAGCUAACACCGGAGAAUAUAUUGAACCGCAUGGUUCAAUAGUGAAAGACGGUUUUGCGGUCACUUAUAGAUGGAUCCGCGCCGCAUUAGCUAGUUGGUAAGGUAACGGCUUACCAAGGCGACGAGGCGUAGACGACCUGAGAGGGUGAUCGGCCACACUGGAGCUGAGACGCGGUCCAGACUCCUACGGGAGGCAGCAGUAGGGAAUCUUCCGCAAUGGGCGAAAGCCUGACGGAGCAACGCCGCGUGAGUGAUGAAGGUCUUCGGAUCGUAAAACUCUGUUAUUAGGGAAGAACAAAUGUGUAAGUAACUAUGCACGUCUUGACGGUACCUAAUCAGAAAGCCCCGGCUAACUACGUG